This 498-nucleotide ribosomal RNA is filed under the name uncultured bacterium. Its description in RNAcentral is "bacterial SSU rRNA". It matches the Rfam family "Bacterial small subunit ribosomal RNA", at positions 19 to 518 of the family's 1533-position model. The record is from RNAcentral.
AUGGCUCAGGAUGAACGCUGGCGGCGUGCUUAACACAUGCAAGUCGAACGAAGCAACUAUCACGAUCCCUUCGGGGUGACGAUUGUUGACUGAGUGGCGGACGGGCGAGUAACGCGUGGGUAACCUGCCUUGUACAGGGGGACAACAGUUGGAAACGACUGCUAAUACCGCAUAAGCGCACAGCUUCGCAUGAAGCAGUGUGAAAAGUUUUUCGGUACAAGAUGGACCCGCGUCUGAUUAGCUAGUUGGUGAGGUAACGGCCCACCAAGGCGACGAUCAGUAGCCGACCUGAGAGGGUGACCGGCCACAUUGGGACUGAGACACGGCCCAAACUCCUACGGGAGGCAGCAGUGGGGAAUAUUGCACAAUGGGCGAAAGCCUGAUGCAGCCGACGCCGCGUGAGCGAAGAAGUAUUUCGGUAUGUAAAGCUCUAUCAGCAGGGAAGAUAAUGACGGUACCUGACUAAGAAGCACCGGCUAAAUACGUGCCAGCCGCUGC